AUGGGGAUGGGAACAGCUCAGCCCUUGACCCAAACCCUGACCCUUGGAACCCAAAUUGUGACCCUUGGACUGACCCAUCCUCCUCUUCCUGUGCUCCUGGUGAUCCUCCCAGGGCUGCGGGCGGCCGUGACCCUGCUGGAGUCCGGGGGGAACCUCCAGCCCCCCGGGGGGUCCCUGCGCCUCCUCUGCCGAGCCUCCGGCUUCGAUUUUGGCAGUUUUGCCAUGCAAUGGGUUCGACAGAGACCCGGGCAGACGCUGGAAUUUGUCGCGUAUAUCAGCAACGGUGGCAGCACCUGGUACCCGCCGUCGGUCAAGGGCCGGUUCACGAUCUCCAGGGACAACGGGCAGAGCUCGGUGACGCUGACCAUGAGCAGCCUCAAGGACGAGGAUUCCGCCGUCUAUUUCUGCGCUAAAUAUUUUGCUGCCACUCCAGAUUACUCAGCAUAUGCCCUGGCCCUGCUGUCCUCACCUGGGCUGGUCAAUCUCUCCUUGGUUGCCCUGGGCCAGAGGAUCGAGGCCCCCCCAGGGGAAUUUUCACGCUGA
This is a non-coding RNA of Motacilla alba alba, 543 nucleotides long. The record is from the annotation of a RefSeq genome assembly. Lineage: Eukaryota; Metazoa; Chordata; Aves; Passeriformes; Motacillidae.